ACGGGAGGCAGCAGUGAGGAAUAUUGGUCAAUGGGCGGAAGCCUGAACCAGCCAAGUCGCGUGAAGGAUGAAGGUAUUAUGUAUUGUAAACUUCUUUAGACGUAGAGAAAUAAGCGGGACGCGUCCCGCGAUGCUAGUAUGCGUAGAAUAAGGAUCGGCUAACUCCGUGCCAGCAGCCGCGGUAAUACGGAGGAUCCGAGCGUUAUCCGGAUUUAUUGGGUUUAAAGGGUGCGCAGGCGGUCUUUUAAGUCAGUGGUUAAAUCGUGGAGCUCAACUCCAUCCCGCCAUUGAUACUGGAGGACUUGAUUGCGGUCGAGGUUGGCGGAAUUCGCCGUGUAGCGGUGAAAUGCAUAGAUAUGGCGAAGAACUCCGAUUGCGUAGGCAGCUGACCAGGCCGUAAAUGACGCUCAUGCACGAAAGUGCGGGGAUCGAACAGGAUUAGAUACCCUGGUA
RNAcentral lists this ribosomal RNA (453 nucleotides) under uncultured Petrimonas sp. RNAcentral's name for it is "partial 16S ribosomal RNA". It matches the Rfam family "Bacterial small subunit ribosomal RNA", at positions 341 to 792 of the family's 1533-position model. Lineage: Bacteria; Pseudomonadati; Bacteroidota; Bacteroidia; Bacteroidales; Dysgonomonadaceae. The record is from RNAcentral.